CACACAGUAGGACCUCUCCCCUGUCAAUCAUUCUGGCAUUCUUGAUUAUUAGCAAGGGCUUCCUUGUCCACUGAUGCUGACGAGACACUUGUCCUUCUGGUCCAAUGAGACACUGCACGUGGGCACUGAACUUGACAUACCUGGCAUUGCGUCAGUGUCCAUGCACACUGUGAGUGAGAUGGUGAUGAUGGUGAAGGAGAAGGAAGAGGAGGAGAAGGACAAAGGGAUUGGUGGGGUGAGCUGUCAGUCACAGGUGACUUCCUGUUAUCCCUGGUAAGUUCACCUUUGCAAUUGUUCCUGCUGAAGACCUUUGAGGAACAUGAACCAGGUUAGACAAUAUGGAGGACUUGGCCAUUGGCCACCUGAGCCCACCAUCAUGGGAUGACCUCACACCUGUUGAAAGGAUUGAUGAGAUCACCUUCACUGCACCUUUGUUCCAGAAACCACUCCAACUCGAUAGAUAGCCAAGCGCACCCCCUAGCUCACUGAGAGGAUGAACAGCAGCGGGGGAAUUGUUGAAGCACAUGGACACAGAGACCAGGCCUGCAGGAUCCCUGAGCAGAAAAAAACAAUUAGGCCUCUGAGUGACCUUAACCUUGCUUAAUUGGCAAAUGUAAACAAAACUUAACUUGAGUCGUUUCUGGUAAAUACUUAAUGUUAGAUAGAAACAGUACCUAACCUCAGCCAAUCCUAGGCAGCCCAUGAACAGGAGAUCCUGUGACUUGGAAUUUCAACCAUGUAAAUAAACCAAAAGAAGGCAGUUUUGUAACUGUGGCCUCAAAUCAUUUUUAAUUCUCUUCUGUUUUUUCCCUCAUCAAUACUUGUCUGAGGCUUUUGUCAUCACAACCCUGAACUUUGGAUGGUCUGGAAUUUCCUAAUUUUGUCAUCACAACCCUGAACU
Long non-coding RNA from Marmota flaviventris (yellow-bellied marmot), 901 nucleotides. RefSeq lists it as uncharacterized. NCBI's taxonomy places the organism in Eukaryota, Metazoa, Chordata, Mammalia, Rodentia, Sciuridae. The record is from RefSeq and is a predicted model, not a curated record.